Apodemus sylvaticus (European woodmouse) is the source of this 1459-nucleotide long non-coding RNA. RefSeq lists it as uncharacterized. The transcript has 3 exons. The record is from RefSeq and is a predicted model, not a curated record. NCBI's taxonomy places the organism in Eukaryota, Metazoa, Chordata, Mammalia, Rodentia, Muridae.
UGAUGCGUAGCUCUUCUGAGGACUUGCCAACGGGGCUCCAGUUGCUUGUUUGUUGGCUUUACUGGUUUCUGUAAAUAGCACGGGGCACUCACAUUCAUCCAGCCUGUCCAGCCUUCUGUUCCAGGAUUUGGAAUGUGUGGUUCAGGUGCUAGCAGGACACAGCCGCUCCUCUCCAAAACUGGAGGCCCAUAAAGCUAUGAAGACAAAUCUUCUUUUCAAGGAGAAUGUUCCAGAAAGACAUUUCCCACAGCAAGGUUUACCACGGCCUUCCUCCUCCACACCCCCAGCAUCAUGACUCUCUUUCCUGAUCUUCCUAUGAGUAGCACACUGUGCUUGUCUCCUGAUUUCCUCACAGUGACCUCACACCUCAAUAUCUCCUGAAGAAGUUCCCUCUAAAGCAUGCCAUUGAGUUCCCUGACAUGGGAUCCGUACCUCCGACAAGUGGUUGCAGAAGAGCCUUCAAAACAAGCUAUUGUCUGACAGGUUUCUAUUUAUUUCUACAAAUGUGCGGCAUUUUUCCAAAUCCUCCUAUCCCUGUAGGGGUGACAUAUUUGGUCUGUUUUAUUUGGGAAGGGGGAAAAAUCAAAAGCUAAAUGUAUCAUUGGGGAUUUUUGUUUUGUUUUUUUGUUUGUUUGUUUGUUCGUUCUGGUGGUCAGAUGAAGCCAUCUCUGGCCUUGUUUCUGUCUGCUGAAAGAGAUGGCACCGUGCCUGGCCACGCCCCCUUCCCUUCAGCCUCCACACUCCAGCCAGACUCACAGCAGUGCUACAAAAUAUAGACUUGAAAAGUAAUUAAGAUAUAAGUAUUCCAGAAGAGAACACAUGGUUAUUUAAAGCUAUUGGACAGCUUUCAAAAGGAAAGAUCUAUGAAAUCCAAGGGCUGAGAGCCAUCACGCUGUUUGCCUCCAUUCCUCACAUUAAGAAUAGGGACUAAUUAUAAAUCUCCAGCAAAUAUGACCUGGUAAAGAGUUUUCAAACAAAAGCCUGCACCGAACAGGAUAUCUGGCAGAUCUGGGCACUUGUUUUCGCUAAUAACCAUUAAAGCUGUUCCUAGUAAAGCCUUUUACAGCAGCAUUAGAAAUAUCAGGGUUUACGUUUUCCUUAAUGAAUCGCUGCACUGUGUUACCAUUGCACCAUGGUCUCCCAGCGGCUCCCGAUCCUCGCUUUGUCUCCACAGUGCCUCUUUCCCCCCCUGUAACAUUUCGUUUCCAAUGACACGUCAGCCGUCUUUCACCAACCUCAAAGGAAAGUUGAAUGCAGGCCUCACAAAGUUAAGCUGACAUUUGCUCCCUUCCAAUAAAAAAUAUUUAGUCCAUUAAACAUAAAUACCUGUCAUUAUGAUACAUGGAGUGGGUGCGAGCCUCCCGGUUCCCUCUGAUGUUUAUUACAUCCAAGCAACUGCAGUGCCUGCAUGUUUUCAACUUUAGUGUAUUGAUUAAACUUUUAAAUGGCUGCCAUAUAA